Molecule: transfer RNA, 71 nt
Filed under: Kordia aestuariivivens
Lineage: Bacteria; Pseudomonadati; Bacteroidota; Flavobacteriia; Flavobacteriales; Flavobacteriaceae
Description: Kordia sp. YSTF-M3 tRNA-Trp
Rfam family: tRNA
About the family: Transfer RNA (tRNA) molecules are approximately 80 nucleotides in length. Their secondary structure includes four short double-helical elements and three loops (D, anti-codon, and T loops).
Source: RNAcentral
ACGCUUGUGGUGUAACGGUAGCAUGUACGUCUCCAAAACGUACGGUUGAGGUUCAAAUCCUUACAGGCGUG